This 22-nucleotide non-coding RNA is filed under the name Arabidopsis thaliana (thale cress). Lineage: Eukaryota; Viridiplantae; Streptophyta; Magnoliopsida; Brassicales; Brassicaceae. The record is from RNAcentral.
UUGUAGGUAAAAACAUCAGGUU